GCCUCCUCCUCAGUGCAGCGAACAUGUAGAGCCAAGCGAACAAAAUGCCGACCGGAAGUGCAGCUGCAGGAAUGACUCCCUCCACAGGCGCCAAACAUAACAGCCUCUCCCUUUCCUCCACGGUCGCUUCCUCACUUGCUUGGCUGGCACUGCUUCCGCUGCCGCUGCAUUGCUCUACGUUACCCUCCUCCUAGCUUUGCUGCAACCGAAGUUCCUUGUCUCACCGCACCUGGGCAGCGAUGGGCACAGCUGAAUCUCCACUGCGUGGCUGUCACUCCACUUCCCACCCACCUGGCUCCCUCCUGAUUUUUUUCUUCUUUUCCCAGCUGGUGCAUGGAACUAGAUGGGAGUUUGUACUCAGGCCUACACUGAAGGAAAAGCAGCUAGAGAUUUGUGAAAAAGUGAUCUUUGAAAAAAAAUACACAUUUUGGGUUUAUUUUUUUUAUCUUCCUUAAGGAUGGUAGGGAGAAGGACUUACAAAUGACUGCAAAAUGCCACCUUAUAGGAGGCAGACUUAAGAAGGCAACUUAUAAUGAAGCCAUGAAGGCAGCAGUCUCCAUCAGCCCCAGCAAGCAAGACGUGGCAAAUCUGGGACACUUACUGGAAUUACUGUUACCAUUACUGAUAAUCUCUGUGGAAUUUAAGAGGCUGUGUCACAGGAACUAAACUAAAACACCCAAUGCCAAAAGUGCUGCCAGAGCACAUAUCAAACUUGAGUGAUUUUUAAGAACAGCCCUUUUGGACAAGUACAAGAGAGAAUGCAGAUGUUAAGCUGAAGGGUCCUAUGCUGGAGGCUGAUGUUCCUCACCAAUUCCAGAUUUACUGGAAAUAUUUUAAUUGUGGGUUGUGAAGGACUGUUUGGAAAAAGAAUGUCUUAGUCUGAAAGAUUUUCUGUUUUUUUUCUGUACAGGUAAGGCUCUGUAUAAUCAUAGCACAGGAUAAUAGUAAAGAAGCAUUUACAUAGGAUGCUCUGAAAGUAAUGCCUCCUAUUUAUUUCCAUGGAAACUAUAAUGGAUACAAAGAACACAAUAACACUAUUUGAUAAAUUCUUAGCUAUAAAACACUACUCUUCAACAUAGUCACAACCAUUAGCUGUACAUUUUGACCAGUCACAAACAAGAACCUGCAUGCUGUGUUCAUAAGAGUCUGCACGGCCAUCUGGAAUGUGGCUUGUCAUUCAUAUCACUGUUGCCACUGCUGAAAUGUACCACCCACCCCUCACUGUGCUCACAUCCACUUUUUGGUCUCCAUAAACAUUCAGCAAGUGUCAAUGAAUGUCAAUAGUGCUGUUUUCUUCGCAGGGAGGAAUUCAGUGACACACCAUUGCUCCAUACCCACUUCCAUGUCAGACACCAUUUUGUCAGACUGCCCCUCUGUUGCCAUCUGUUGUACAGCAACAACACGGAUCGAAAUAUUGGUGGGAAGGUUCAACCUCAACUGCCAUCCCACCAACAUCUGCCUCUGACAUUGUAGGCCAACAUCAUAAAAUAAAAGACAUUACUUUUGGAACAGCUAUCAUUACAUCUAAUGAAUUAACUACAUCUUUUCAUACUAAAUUCUGCUGUCUUGCUCCUCAGACAAAAAUCCUUUGGGAACUGUUAAGUCACAGCCUGAACAAGUGAUUGAGCACCUAGUAAAGAAGCA
RNAcentral lists this long non-coding RNA (1644 nucleotides) under Gallus gallus (chicken). The record is from RNAcentral. Lineage: Eukaryota; Metazoa; Chordata; Aves; Galliformes; Phasianidae.